Molecule: unclassified non-coding RNA, 2583 nt
Filed under: Drosophila ananassae
Lineage: Eukaryota; Metazoa; Arthropoda; Insecta; Diptera; Drosophilidae
Description: GF25215
Source: RNAcentral
GGUCGGCAGUUUUCGCUUUUUUAUUUAUAUAUUCUCUUGUUUUCACUUUUUUUUUUGUUUUUCCGCCGCGGUUAGCCGGUCCAGAAAACUUUUCGACUUUCCACGCUCUUGUUUAAUGCCCAGCCAUAAUAUUUAACUGGCUGGGAGUGAGAGUUAAAACUUAACUGCCAGCAAAUAAACUUGAAAUUAAAUCAAUUUGCCCAAGGAGCGCGAUCCCCAAGUGAGCGAAUCCAGCAGAACCGUCAAUUAGCAAUGAGCGUGUUGUUCAAACGGGCCCUGUGAAUGGCCAAGAGCUUUGGUGUGGUUUUGGCCAAACGGGUAAGGAGCCCAGUUCCGCCGGCGACGGAAAUGGCUGCUUAAGUGGUGCGCAUCCGGCAGAGUCGAACCGAACCGGAACCGCAGCCGGAACCACCGGAAUAGCUAUAGCAACAACCCAGCUGAGACGCAGAGCACUCUCCACAUUAGAACGCAACAAAUAAAGCGAAAAAAGAUAAGGAUAAUGGCCAAUCUGAGCUGGAUGGCCACCACGCAACUACCAUCGGUGGUAACAACGGCCAACCUGAGCCUGACCACUCCGGGCAGCACGAGCGCCAGUUUGGCGGACGUGGCAUCCGCCUCCAUGGACGAGGACCGGACCGGCGGCAUCAUCCACAAUCAGUUCGUUCAGAUCUUCUUCUAUGUGUUGUAUGCCACGGUCUUUGUCCUGGGCGUCUUCGGCAAUGUCCUGGUGUGCUAUGUGGUCCUGCGGAACCGGGCCAUGCAAACGGUGACCAACAUAUUCAUUACCAACCUGGCAUUGUCGGACAUAUUGCUGUGCGUCCUGGCCGUUCCCUUCACGCCGCUCUACACGUUCAUGGGCCGCUGGGCCUUCGGGCGGACUCUCUGCCACCUGGUGUCCUUCGCCCAGGGCUGCAGCAUCUACAUAUCCACGCUGACCCUCACCUCCAUCGCCAUCGACCGGUACUUCGUGAUCAUCUACCCCUUCCAUCCGCGCAUGAAGCUCUCCACCUGCAUCGGGAUCAUCGUGAGCAUCUGGGUGAUAGCCCUCCUGGCCACCGUGCCCUACGGCAUGUACAUGAAGAUGACCAACGAGCUGGUGAACGGAACGCAGGGCGCCGGCAACGAGACUCUGGUGGACGCCACCCUGAUGGCCCUCAACGGCAGCUAUGUGCCGCAGGGGGGCCAGGGUAUGAUGGAGGCGCCGGAUGCCACCACCUCGGCUGCCCAGGCGUACAUGCAGGUGAUGACCGCCGGGACGGGGCCGGAGGAGCUGCCCUACGUCCGGGUGUACUGUGAGGAGAACUGGCCGUCGGAGCAGUACCGGAAGGUGUUCGGAGCCAUCACCACCACUUUGCAGUUCGUGCUGCCCUUCUUCAUCAUCUCCAUCUGCUAUGUGUGGAUCUCCGUGAAGCUGAACCAGAGGGCCCGGGCCAAGCCGGGCUCGAAGUCCUCGAGGCGGGAGGAGGCCGACCGGGACCGGAAGAAGCGCACCAACCGGAUGCUAAUCGCCAUGGUGGGCGUCUUCGGACUCAGCUGGCUGCCCAUCAACGUGGUCAACAUAUUCGACGACUUCGACGACAAGUCCAACGAGUGGCGCUUCUACAUCCUGUUCUUCUUCGUGGCCCACUCGAUCGCCAUGAGCUCUACCUGCUACAACCCCUUCCUCUACGCCUGGCUAAACGAGAACUUCCGCAAGGAGUUCAAGCACGUCCUGCCCUGCUUCAAUCCCUCCAACAACAACAUCAUCAACAUCACCCGCGGCUACAACCGCUCCGACCGCAACACCUGCGGCCCACGGCUGCACCACGGCAAGGGGGAGGGCGGCAGCUGUGGCGGCAGCUUAGACGCCGACGACCAGAACGAGAACGGCAUCACCCAGGAGACAUGCCUGCCCAAGGAGAAGCUGCUGAUAAUACCCCGGGAGCCCACCUACGGCAAUGGAACCGGCGCCGUCUCACCCAUCCUGAGCGGGCGUGGCAUCAACGCCGCCCUCGUCCACGGCGCCGGCGACCAUCAGAUGCACCAGCUCCAGCCGAAGCACCUGCAACAGGUGGAGCUAACGCGGCGCAUCCGGCGGCGGACCGACGAGACGGACGGGGGCGACUACCUGGAUUCCGGAGACGAGCAGACCGUGGAGGUGCGCUUCAGUGAGACGCCGUUCGUCAGCACGGACAACACCACCGGCAUCAGCAUCCUGGAGACCAGCACGAGUCACGGAGGCGACACGGAGUUGAUGCUGGAGCUGGCAGAUGCCAACGGCGGCGGAGGAGGUGCCGGAAGACGAGUCAACUGAGAUAGGAUUUUUGAAACGCAUUUCUAAGCAUUUCCGUGGACGGACUUUUAUUGAAUUUGGUUGGUAAUUCAAGACAACAUAAUGCUGGAACCCUAUUGUACGGAAAAAUGCUGAUAAAUGCCAAAUCGAGUGACAACGAUGUGAGAGGUGGUAAGGCAGAUUGUCUAGCAAUUGGCUGAAACAGCUACACAAGUCAUGGAUAUCAAAUAAGACUAGAGGACUACCACGCCCUAUCAUCGCAGCAUGUGUCGAAGGCCCUUGUCCCGCUGGCAUGCUUUGAUCAAAUAAAC